Molecule: ribosomal RNA, 160 nt
Filed under: Enterobacteriaceae bacterium 1944_NPK(6)
Lineage: Bacteria; Pseudomonadati; Pseudomonadota; Gammaproteobacteria; Enterobacterales; Enterobacteriaceae
Description: partial 16S ribosomal RNA
Rfam family: Bacterial small subunit ribosomal RNA
Source: RNAcentral
UGGGGGAUAUUGCACAAUGGGCGCAAGCCUGAUGCAGCCAUGCCGCGUGUAUGAAGAAGGCCUUCGGGUUGUAAAGUACUUUCAGCGGGGAGGAAGGGAGUAAAGUUAAUACCUUUGCUCAUUGACGUUACCCGCAGAAGAAGCACCGGCUAACUCCGUG